This is a long non-coding RNA of Ahaetulla prasina, 2444 nucleotides long. RefSeq lists it as uncharacterized. The transcript has 3 exons. The record is from RefSeq and is a predicted model, not a curated record. Lineage: Eukaryota; Metazoa; Chordata; Lepidosauria; Squamata; Colubridae.
UGGAUGGAUGGAUUUUUUAUUCAUUCACUUUUUACUAAAUUCACAUGUUGUUCUCCUUGCCAUUUGAGAUUGACGGAUGGAGUCACAUUGAAACGAGAUGGGCAUCAAAUUUAAUAAUAAAGAGGGAGGGAGAAAGGGAGAGAUGAAUAGGCAGAUAGAUAGAUAGAUAGAGAUGGAUGGAUUUUUGUUUCAAUUUUCAUUAAAUGUACAGGUUGCCCAUCUUGCGGUUUGAGAUAGAUAAGAGAGGCAGACAGACAGACAAAAUGUACGUAGCAAGUAGACCUGCUUUAAUAGCAAGAUCCAAUAGUGCUUGUUGCUGUCUCUCUUAACUAGUAUGCAGCACCGGACAAAUCAUUUUGAUUGAUCUGCGUUUUUGGAAGCUUAUCCUGAAAAGGGGGAAAAAAAAUGUUUCUUGUUCCCCAUGUUUCCAAUAUCUGGGAGAAAAAAAAACACGCCUUUUUCAUUGUUUCACGGUAAGCGAACUAUUUACUACUGAACAUAUGGAGGGCUAUCCCGAAGGGAGGGGGGAAAAAAAGGGGGCCUCUGGUGUCUCAACAGACUAAUGCAGUCUGUUAUUAACAGCAGCUGCUUGCAAUUACUGCAGGUUCAAGUCCCACCAGGCCCAAGGUUGACUCAGCCUUCCAUCCUUUAUAAGGUAGGUAAAAUGAGGAUCCAGAUUGUUGGGGGCAAUAAGUUGACUUUGUAUAUAAUAUACAAAUGGAUGAAGACUAUUGCUUGACAUAGUGUAUGUCCCCCCUGAGUCUUCGGAGAAGGGUGGGAUAUAAAUGCAAAAAAAAAAAAGAAAGGUUAUGUAAAUCAGACUCUUUUCUAAGGUUCGACCAUCUCUGGCACAUAACGGGGAGCCUUCCACUGAACCUUAUAAAAAUGCAGCACCUGUCAUCAAAUCGGUAUGAAAAAUGAAAACCCAACCUCUUGAGAGGCGUUUAGGAAGCAGCUCGGGAUGCCCAGGUUUUCCAGUGCAAAGCUCCUUUCUAUUGUUUCUUUUCCCCCAUGUCAAGGAAAGGAAGGGCGUGUCCCUCUUAGCGAGCAUAAUUCUCAAGAGGCCACGUGUGUUUCAAAGAUUAACUGAACUGAAAUUUAAACGAACAAACAACAGGACGCACAGUGGCAUUGAAACAGAAGAGAAUACCAGGGCAUUCAUCGGGGUAGGAUUAUAAAAAAAAAAGAGAGAGUGAGAUUAUGGCUGAACACAGAAUUUCUUUGCAGUAAGAGCGGUUUGUGCAUAAAAACGUUCCUUUUCAAAGCCUCCCAUCUUAAAAUAUUUUGUGGCCAAAAAGGGAGAGAAAGAUGAACUUGAUCUACCAUUUAUGUUCUUUGGUCCCGUCCCCCACAAUCUCCACAAUGCUUUGUAUUUUAUUAAUUUAUUUAUUACGGCAUAUCCUGGUAAACUAAAGUAAAGGACAUACAUACAUACAUACAUACAUACAUACAUACAUAUAUAUAUGUUUUCUGAGGUUUUCACGGGUGUUUGUAUGUAGGUCUUUGGUUAUUUGGGUUUUCUUGCCCCUAGAAGCACUAAGGUGUAAACACCAGCCUGAAGAUGAUGAAUGAGACUUCGUUGAAACGUCACCAAGACACUUCCGCGGGAGAAAACCUGAAUAACCAAAGACCUAUGUGUGUGUGUAUGUGUGGUUGUGUGUGUGUGUAUAUAUAUAUAUAUGAAGGGAAAGGUUCCCCUCACACAUAUGCCCUAGUUGUUCCUGACUCUAGGGGACGGUGCUCAUCUACAUUUCAAAGCCGAAGAACCAGUGCUGUCCGAAGACGUCUCCGUGGUCAUGUGGCCGGCAUGACUCAACGCCAAAGGAGCACGGAACGCUGUUCCCUUCCCACCAAAGGUGAUCCCUAUUUUUCUACUUGCAUUUUUUUACGUGCUUUCAAACUGCUAGGUUGGCAGAAGGUGGGACAAGGAAGAGGAGCUCAGCACUAGGGAGCUGAGCUCCCGUUACGCAGCCCUAGGGAUUCGAACCACUGCACUGUGGACCUUUCGAUUGACAAGCUCAACGUCUUACCCACUAAACCACCGUGUGUCCUAUAUUUUCCCUCGGUGACUAAGCUGCAUCUUGGGCCAAAGGAUGGAUCAGAUUUCUCCCCGUGGAAGCGCCAAACUUAAAAGAUGAGAAUUCAGAAACCGCUCUCCGUCCCCCCCAAUUCUGGACUCUUCCCAGGGUUAGAAAUGCCUAAGCCACCUCACAGGAUCGUUAUGGGAAGAAUAGGAGAAGAAAGGAGCAUUAGGAAUUAAAAGAGUUUGAUUACAGCCCUGCGCUAAUGAGGGGGAAGCCGCGUUGGCAAAUGGAAAGGGUUCGGCAAGGCUGGAUCUGCGAGAAAGGCUCAGGCGGAAUAUUUUGAUAAGAGCGGCAAGAAGCAAAGUGAACCACAAAUGAGAAAAACUCUUCUAAAUCAAAGAAAAACAAACUCACACAGCC